AUUGAACGCUGGCGGAAUGCUUUACACAUGCAAGUCGAGCGGCAGCGCGGGGCAACCUGGCGGCGAGCGGCGAACGGGUGAGUAAUACAUCGGAACGUGCCCAGACGUGGGGGAUAACUACUCGAAAGAGUGGCUAAUACCGCAUACGAUCUAAGGAUGAAAGCGGGGGAUCGCAAGACCUCGCGCGUUUGGAGCGGCCGAUGGCAGAUUAGGUAGUUGGUGGGGUAAAGGCUUACCAAGCCCGCGAUCUGUAGCUGGUCUGAGAGGAUGAUCAGCCACACUGGGACUGAGACACGGCCCAGACUCCUACGGGAGGCAGCAGUGGGGAAUUUUGGACAAUGGGGGAAACCCUGAUGCAGCCAUGCCGCGUGUGUGAAGAAGGCCU
RNAcentral lists this ribosomal RNA (385 nucleotides) under uncultured bacterium. RNAcentral's name for it is "bacterial SSU rRNA". It matches the Rfam family "Bacterial small subunit ribosomal RNA", at positions 29 to 417 of the family's 1533-position model. The record is from RNAcentral.